Long non-coding RNA from Manis pentadactyla (Chinese pangolin), 956 nucleotides. RefSeq lists it as uncharacterized. NCBI's taxonomy places the organism in Eukaryota, Metazoa, Chordata, Mammalia, Pholidota, Manidae. The transcript is spliced from 2 exons. The record is from RefSeq and is a predicted model, not a curated record.
UGUAGGCACCUCCUCAUGUCACACUGAUGGCGGCCUUACAUGUCCCUGGCCGUCCACCACUGGUCAGAAGCCUGGUGUCCUCUGCCUCGGUCUCUGGCACCUCGGGCCGCUGAUGCUCCUCUGGCCCGGCCACCAUGCUUUCCCAGGGCAAGUUGACACUGCUGGUCCGGGGAACACAGUUUGAGAGGUACUGGUGCACCUCUUCCCGGAGGGGUAACGGGCGUUUCAAGAGUGACACCCCUUUGGAACAAGCCAUCACCAUGCCGACCAUCAAACAGAUGGACAGACGGCACUGAACGCCCCUACCCGUCCACGGCUGCCCAGGCGGCUCCCGAGCAGCCAUGCCUUGGGCCUCCUCCUUUUUGAUACAGUCACCUCUGUGUUUUGCAGACACUGGGCAAAGGGCAGAGAUGUUCCUGAUGGAAGAGUGGGCAGGCACACACAUUCCAGGUGCAAAUGCAACCGGAAUGCUGUUGGUCUACAAGCCAGUUUUCUGCAGCUCAAUUUCUGGCUAAGGGGACCAGGAAGAAGUGAAGGCAGAGGAGGCAGCCGGACUGCCUGCUGACCACGCCAUCCCAAUGGGCUGGGGCUCCCAGGCCCUCGCUGCCUGCUAGCUGUCCAGGCCGCAAACAAGAGCUUCCAGGUGUGCACUGCCCACCUGUGUGUUCCCAGCUGCCGCAGGCCUCCCGGUUCCAGACGCAGUUUCCAAAGGAGCCUCACCCCCUGCGCCUUUCCUUCUGCAAAUGGCUCUUCUGCCCUUCAAGGGCACGUUCUCCCGACUCUGCGAACCUAAGCACUUUUUUCCCACUAGAUCAAGGGUACUUGCUGCUGACUCAGUUUUACAGAAAACUCUUUAUCUGUGAAAUGACUCAUUUUGAUGUCACCAGCAAAGUAGGGUGAGAUACGGGGAAAAGUCUGGUCCAAAGUUCCUUAAAGAUUCUUUGUUUUAAAAAUAA